AACAAUGUUCUUUAUUAAUCAAUGAUUGGAUUAUGGUAAUCUAAUUAAUUAUCUCUAUAGUAGAGAUGAUAUGGUAGUGUUAAACUGUUUAGAAAAUAAUGAUGCUUAAAACCCAAAAGGUUGCAAGGUAGUGACUAAUCCCAACUAAAGUUGUGAUACGUCUAAAACAUAAAUUACGAGUUGGUCAUAGAUGGACGCUUUGGAUCGUAAGGUCCGGAUCCAAUACCUUCUUGUUAAAAUUGUAUGGAGGCGAAAUGUUCGAAUCUUUAUUCUUUUGGAAGAAGAAAGAAUCACAAAGUUGUUGAGGUUAAUUCACUUAGAUGUUAGUGGCACUUGUCCACAAACAUAAUACUACUCAUGUUGGAUAACAUUCACCGAAGAUCACUCUCGGUUGGACUAUAGUUUAUUUUGAAUAAACACAAGUCCGAAUACUUUGAAAAAUGUUUCAAAGAAUUCAAGAAAUGUAAGUUGAUGAGUAAGACAUCUAAAAGUAUUUACCUCCUUAGAUUUGAUCCAAGGAAAGGUAACACUUUAGAUAAGUUUCCUUGAAAGAUAUCAAGGAAAAUGGCAUCAUAAGAUAAUGUAUUUCUCCAUUAGGAGAAGAACGAACUUGAAUAAGAUUUAGUUCGUUAGAUGUUAUCUAUUACCCAUAUAUAGGAUAUAUACUUCUAAAAACAAUAUGAUUGUCAAUGAGAAGAUCUUCCAAUAUUUUUAUGACUCCAUAAGAUGUAGUUGGAAAGAAAGACAAAUCUUAAGCAUGUUAAAGAUUUGGGGUUGUGUGCUAACAAGCAAUAUUUGUUUGAUAAUAAUCUUGUAGGAUAUCCUUAAAAUAACUUUUGGAUAUCGCUUCUAUAAACCAACUAACAAAUGUUGUUUUGUUGGGUAGUUCAUUGUAAUUCUACAAUGUGAUUUGCCUAAAAGCAAAUGAACGAGAGAUAGAACUCAAAGAAUGGGUUCUUUGAGAGACAAGAAAGUAAUCAACAAAUAUAACAACCUAGUUCCUAUACCACAAGCUCCAAGGUAGUCGAUAAGGAUUUAUAAACCGUCUCAGUUGAAUGGUUUUGAACUUUAUGACUAUGUCAUAGAGUUCCACCUCUUAAUUCGAAAGAAAUAAGAAUGAAAAUCCUUAUGACUACAUUGAGUGCAUAUACGAUAUAUACUCAAGGAAAUGGUAAAGUACCAUUUGACUCGAAAUAAUGAAACCUUCAAAAGCUAAUUGGUAGCUUAAGGUGACUACAAUCAAAGAGAAUGGUUGACUUUAAAAGGAACCAUUUUUGACGUAGUCUUAGUUUCAAUUAAUUCGAAGAUUGCUAGCUACAACUAAAUGGUGAUUCAAUGUUUUGACAUAAUAUGGGUUUCCGAAACCAUUAUUAAGAUAGUCUUGAUAAUAUAUGUGUAAAACUACUAAUCACAAGACAUGUAAGUUGUAGAGAUCCAUCCAUCAUGGAUCUUAGCAAGUUAGUGGGAGCUAUUUGCAUUUUAUGAGAAAAAGGAUCAAAUCGUUUGAUUUCUCAUAAAGAUGUAAAUGAAUCUUUUGUUUACUAGUUUUACAAAAGAUUAGUGGGAGUUAAUCAUGUUCCUAAAAAUAUAAAUAUAUAUGAUAUAUUAAUUUUGGAAAUGAAAAGAAUACUUCUUUGUUAAAGUUAUGACUUUAAUACAUUAUAUGAAGAUAGAAUGUAUAUGGGAGAUAUAGUCUAUAUACAUGGGAUGAAAUCUAUAAUGAUAUAUUUCAUGAUAUAAUUGGAUUAUAUCAAUCCCUAAUAAUAGACAAUGGAUGCUAGGAAGUUUCUCAUAUGAUGAUAAACUUCAAUUAGAAGGAUGACUCUAGUAAGACUAGCAAGUUGCCCUUCUCAAAGGGAACGUGCCCCUUUGACUCCCAAAGAAAUAAUGCGUAAAUUGAAUCCUUUAUGCAUAUGCAGAAAGGUGAUUUAUGUAUUUCAUAUUGUAUGAAAAACAUUGAUAUGAGUUGUACCUAGAACGGUACAAGACGAUAUCAAUGCAAGCCCAGGAUCAGAACCAUGGCAACUGUCAAGUGAGUCCUUAAGUAUUUAAGAAAUACUAAAGGAUAAAUUCCUCAAAGAUCGAGGAAGAAUUAGAGUAACGUAAUGGAAGCGUAAAUGUAUUAGAUUAUGAAUCUAAUCCAUCAUUGGAUGUUUCUUCAUUACGAAUGAAGAGAUAAACGAAUAUCUCUUUAUUAUGACUAAAGAGAUAUUUGGAUGGAAACAUUAAAGUAAUGACU
This 2239-nucleotide long non-coding RNA is filed under the name Malus domestica (apple). RNAcentral's name for it is "long non-coding RNA (MDOM_LNC002092)". Lineage: Eukaryota; Viridiplantae; Streptophyta; Magnoliopsida; Rosales; Rosaceae. The record is from RNAcentral.